AUUACACCAUGCCGGUCUGAAUGACAAAGAUAGAUCUCUGGUUCAGGCAUUUCUGUUUUACGUCAGUAUUGGUUUGUACCAGCACAUUGGCUUGGGGCGUAAACCUUCCAGGUCAUCAUCUGGUCAUUAUUAAGGGAACAGAAUAUUAUGAUGGGAAAACAAAGAGAUAUGUUGAUUUUCCAAUAUCAAUCACAGAUAUAUUGCAAAUGAUGGUUUUGGUCACA
This is a non-coding RNA of Prunus avium (sweet cherry), 224 nucleotides long. The record is from RefSeq and is a predicted model, not a curated record. NCBI's taxonomy places the organism in Eukaryota, Viridiplantae, Streptophyta, Magnoliopsida, Rosales, Rosaceae.